AGAAUCAACGCUGGCGGCGUGCCUAACACAUGCAAGUCGAACGAGAAAGUGGUAGCAAUACCAUGAGUAAAGUGGCGCACGGGUGAGUAACACGUGACUAACCUACCCUGGAGUGGGGAUAACUGAGGGAAACCUUAGCUAAUACCGCAUAACACCUACGGGUCAAAGGAGCAAUUCGCUUCAGGAGGGGUCGCGGCAGAUUAGCUAGUUGGCGGGGUAAUGGCCCACCAAGGCAGUGAUCUGUA
This 245-nucleotide ribosomal RNA is filed under the name uncultured bacterium. RNAcentral describes it as "partial small subunit ribosomal RNA". It matches the Rfam family "Bacterial small subunit ribosomal RNA", at positions 26 to 285 of the family's 1533-position model. The record is from RNAcentral.